GGGGGUAUAGCUCAAGUGGUAGAGCGCAGGCAUAGCAUGCAUGAGGUCCUGGGUUUAACACCCAGUACCUCCU
This 73-nucleotide transfer RNA is filed under the name Camelus bactrianus (Bactrian camel). It matches the Rfam family "tRNA". From Rfam's summary of the family: Transfer RNA (tRNA) molecules are approximately 80 nucleotides in length. Their secondary structure includes four short double-helical elements and three loops (D, anti-codon, and T loops). Further hydrogen bonds mediate the characteristic L-shaped molecular structure. tRNAs have two regions of fundamental functional importance: the anti-codon, which is responsible for specific mRNA codon recognition, and the 3' end, to which the tRNAs corresponding amino acid is attached (by aminoacyl-tRNA synthetases). tRNAs cope with the degeneracy of the genetic code in two manners: having more than one tRNA (with a specific anti-codon) for a particular amino acid; and 'wobble' base-pairing, i.e. permitting non-standard base-pairing at the 3rd anti-codon position. The record is from Rfam by way of RNAcentral. RNAcentral also lists the same sequence under 2 other names. Lineage: Eukaryota; Metazoa; Chordata; Mammalia; Artiodactyla; Camelidae.